Molecule: ribosomal RNA, 465 nt
Filed under: uncultured bacterium
Lineage: Bacteria
Description: partial 16S ribosomal RNA
Rfam family: Bacterial small subunit ribosomal RNA
Source: RNAcentral
CCUACGGGAGGCAGCAGUGGGGAAUAUUGCGCAAUGGGCGAAAGCCUGACGCAGCGACGCCGCGUGAGGGAUGAAGGUCUUCGGAUCGUAAACCUCUGUCAGCAGGGAAGAACGGUCACUGUGCUAAUCAGCAGUGCAUUGACGGUACCUGCCAAGGAAGCACCGGCUAACUCCGUGCCAGCAGCCUCGGUAAUACGGGGGGUGGGAGCGUUAGUCGGAAUUACUGGGCGUAAAGCGCUCGUAGGCGGUAUGGCAAGUCACGGGUGAAAGCCCCGCGCUCAACGGGGGAACUGCUUUUGAAACUGGCAAACUGGAGUGUGUGAGAGGAUAGUGGAAUUCCAGGUGUAGGAGUGAAAGCCGUAGAUAUCUGGAGGAACAUCAGUGGCGAAGGCGACUAUCUGGAACAUAACUGACGCUGAGGAGCGAAAGCGUGGGUAGCAAACAGGAUUAGAUACCCUAGUAGUC